This is a long non-coding RNA of Cryptomeria japonica (Japanese cedar), 656 nucleotides long. RefSeq lists it as uncharacterized. The record is from RefSeq and is a predicted model, not a curated record. The transcript has 2 exons. NCBI's taxonomy places the organism in Eukaryota, Viridiplantae, Streptophyta, Pinopsida, Cupressales, Cupressaceae.
CCUAAUCUCUCUUCUACUGCUGUGUCAGAUUCUGUCUUUCCUUUGACUCCCUCUCCUCCUGCCGUGAAAAACACGGUCUAUCCCUGGAAAAAAUUGAGAAUACUUUUUGAUAGUGGAAACAUCCUUGCAUUUCCCUGCAGGAAAACUUGGUCAAAGUCUACUCUCCACUCUUUCCUCUACUUUUCCUCCUUCACCCAUUUUAUGCUUUUUAAACCCAUCUCUGCUUCCUCUAUUCACAAUCUUCUCAAGUGCCAUUCAGAGCCAAUCUUCCUGUAGAGAAAGAAACACAGUUGUUUGUUGUGGGGUAAAAAUGGCACUGAACAGAGGUUGUAAUAUCAUGUUGGUGGUUCUCAUCAUUGCAGUUGUUCUUCCAAAUAUUUGUUCUGCUGAUACCGAUAGCCCUUCUCCUGCCCCUGCCAACCAUGGAGUGGGGAUUAGCCAGGGUAUUGAAGAAUAUAUCAUUAUGAUGGUGGCCCUGCUAUUUGGGUAUCUUUUCAAUGGUGUGUUUUGAACAGGCUAUGGCUAUGCUUACACUAUGAAUAAAUUAUUGAGAUAUUGAUUACUGUACUGUCUUUCAGUUUUAACACAUUUUGUGUGAAGCAGUUGGCAUCAAUUAAGAUUUACUCUAAUAAAUGUGGUAUCACUGUCAUUUCUCA